This 301-nucleotide ribosomal RNA is filed under the name uncultured bacterium. RNAcentral's name for it is "partial 16S ribosomal RNA". It matches the Rfam family "Bacterial small subunit ribosomal RNA", at positions 509 to 807 of the family's 1533-position model. The record is from RNAcentral.
CAGCAGCCGCGGUAAAACGUAGGGGGCUAGCGUUGUUCGGAAUUACUGGGCGUAAAGCGUGCGUAGGCGGCUUCUUAAGUCGGAUGUGAAAUCCCUGAGCUUAACUUAGGAAUUGCAUUCGAUACUGGGAAGCUAGAGUAUGGGAGAGGAUGGUAGAAUUCCAGGUGUAGCGGUGAAAUGCGUAGAGAUCUGGAGGAAUACCGAUGGCGAAGGCAGCCAUCUGGCCUAAUACUGACGCUGAGGUACGAAAGCAUGGGGAGCAAACAGGAUUAGAUACCCCUGUAGUCCCUGUCUCUUAUAC